UACGUAGGGUGCAAGCGUUAAUCGGAAUUACUGGGCGUAAAGCGUGCGCAGGCGGUUAUGUAAGACAGGUGUGAAAUCCCCGGGCUUAACCUGGGAACUGCAUUGUGACUGCAUAGCUAGAGUACGGUAGAGGGGGAUGGAAUUCCGCGUGUAGCAGUGAAAUGCGUAGAUAUGCGGAGGAAGCACCGAUGGCGAAGGCAAUCCCCUGGACCUGUACUGACGCUCAUGCACGAAAGCGUGGGGAGC
RNAcentral lists this ribosomal RNA (246 nucleotides) under uncultured bacterium. Its description in RNAcentral is "partial 16S ribosomal RNA". It matches the Rfam family "Bacterial small subunit ribosomal RNA", at positions 524 to 769 of the family's 1533-position model. The record is from RNAcentral.